Gossypium arboreum is the source of this 256-nucleotide long non-coding RNA. RefSeq lists it as uncharacterized. NCBI's taxonomy places the organism in Eukaryota, Viridiplantae, Streptophyta, Magnoliopsida, Malvales, Malvaceae. The record is from RefSeq and is a predicted model, not a curated record. The transcript has 2 exons.
UCUUUCUUAGUCCGGAUCGGCAAAAGUCGAAAAGCCGAAAUGCCGAAAACCGGUAUUUUGUAGAUUUGCAAGUGUGCGAAUGCUCGUGAGGAAAUCCCCAACCAUAGUGGGCUUGGAGUUGUGAGGGAAUUCGGAGUGGCCACCCGUUCUGAAAGUUUGAUUUUCUUCUGGUGAACUGGACAUCCUUUUAUUUAUAUUUGAAGUUUUUGGGCUUUUAAAUGUAAUAAGGCCGCUUAAUUAGUUUUGAUGGUUUUAA